Molecule: long non-coding RNA, 1372 nt
Filed under: Bos taurus (domestic cattle)
Lineage: Eukaryota; Metazoa; Chordata; Mammalia; Artiodactyla; Bovidae
Description: long non-coding RNA NONBTAT002885
Source: RNAcentral
CUUGCAUAAACGGUGCUCUGGUGCCACCGUUCAUCAUACUCCAUGUCAGUAGGACUCUUCAUACAGUCUUGAGAAGCAGGAAGUUUAGGAUUUGAAUACUGGGGAAAGCAGCUGGCCCAUCUUUCCCCUUUUUAUGUCUCUAUCAUUGACCGUCUGCCCAGAUGACCCUGCAACCCUCUAUUUAGAAGCUGCCUUCAAAACACAGAGAAACAUGGUGGAUCGUAAUCUCAUUGGCACCCUGCUCCGGAAGUUCCCCUAGCAUCAUCCAGCACAGCAGUGGUGUGAGGGUGAAGAGGACUUCACAGGAUUUGGAUACUACCCGAAACAGAAGUAGGUCUAACCCUCCAAGAUAUGGAAGGCUGACCAACAAUUUAUAAAUAUGUCCUUUUAUAUAAAAGACUUUGGAGAUCGAAGGAAGAAAAAACAGGAAAGAUUCUGGGAAUAUCUGUCACAUAGUUAUGGCAAAACCAGACUAGAGAAAGGGCCGGUCCUCCCUAUCCGAUCUUUUAGUAACAGGAAAAUAUAACUAUUAAUUUUUUAAAAACCACAUACAAGCUACAAAGUAGCAUCUCCUUUGUGGUAUGUGUUAGUAUGAUUUUGUUUCUAGUACUAAGAGUUGGUCAAAUGUAAUGGCUUAAUUCCAGCCAGCCAGAGGAAGAAAUUCCAGCCUCCUCCUCCUUCCGGCCCCAUCUUCUGCCUCAGAUCGAGCCCUCAGCGCUGGCUGCGGACUCCCUCUAGCCGCACUGUGACUGACGCCUUAAGCUCCGCGGUCUUGCCUCCGUGUGCUUCAGGGUCAGUGCCCUCAUGUGGUUCCCAGUGGGAGCAGCUCUGGGGAAGCAGAUGUGCACUCAGGUCCUGACAGCAAGCAGUUAGUUGGACCAGAGCGUCUAAGGGUUUUGAAGUACUGAGGUAGCAGAGGGAAGAAUAUGAACAGCUCUCACUCUGAGUCAGUGUUCAUUUAACCUUUGUGUCAGCCUGCCAACAGAACCUAGAGAAAGUUUACCGUAUUCAGGAAAUGAAACAACCAGUGUGUUAAGCCUGGAAGUGAUAAAAGAGCACCCCCUCCUCACUCUCCACUUGUGAUGCUCAUCAUGAAUUUCAAUAUGUCAGGAUGGAGGGACCCAGGGUCCCAGUGAACGAUUCAGCUGGUCCAAGGCUUGGGUUUUUCUUUCUUCAUCAUCCAUCCUCAUUCAGUGUUGUGAUUUAUUUUAUGUAAAAAGUUUACUUAAAAAAAUAUGUGCCUAUGUAAUAAAGUCUACACACUGGCUAACUCUAAGGAGGUGAGGUUUUGUUUUCAAUUGUUCUGCUGAUUAUCAUCUGUAACCCCCUUUUUGAGCUAUGAAAAAGACCUAUUAAUAAAAACUUUUAAACA